Schistosoma mattheei is the source of this 44-nucleotide non-coding RNA. NCBI's taxonomy places the organism in Eukaryota, Metazoa, Platyhelminthes, Trematoda, Strigeidida, Schistosomatidae. The record is from Rfam.
ACAAGCUGACGAGUCCCAAACAGGACGAAACGCGCGUCCUGGAU